Molecule: long non-coding RNA, 1013 nt
Organism: Haemorhous mexicanus (house finch)
Lineage: Eukaryota; Metazoa; Chordata; Aves; Passeriformes; Fringillidae
Exons: 2
Source: RefSeq, a predicted model, not a curated record
AGAUUGCUGCUGCUGUUGGCAUCGCAAAGGAAAAGACUGUAGGGAAAAGCAAAACAAUAUUUACUGGACUACUUGUCACAUUUUAAUUAGUAUCCAGAGAUGAUGGAACACUUCAGCUGUGCUAGGAAAAUGCCUGUUUCUUGGGUUUGGAGAAUAAAAGCUAAGAACUUGCUGCAGGAGAGAGAAUCCUCUGCCUGCACGUACUGCAGUCUUCAUGAGCUUCCUGUGAUGUUGCUGUGAAUCCUGGGAGUAAUCAGUAUUAGCCUGGUCUCUUGUGCAGCAGGAUACAAAUUAUUCUUUCUGGGGUGGCGGAGACACGGUUGAUCUGCUGGCUGCCAGAACAUUAUCUUUUGCUGAAAGCAGAAGCACAGUUCAGUUCAAUUAACAGGGACUGCCCUUUGACUGCGUGUGUGCACAUUUUGGAGGGCUCAGUGGAAACCAGUGGGCAGCAGUGACAGUGCUCUCUGGAAAAGGGCUGAAUCAAAUUAGGGAGUUUUCUUUUUCAGAACUUGUUCAGUGAGAUCAAACUUCAUGCUUCGCUUUUGAAAUGGACUGAAGGAAAUAAACCUUGUUUCUUUGGUUGACCAAAGUCAGUAUUUAGUUAGGGAAAGGACAUUAUUGUAUUUACUCCUAUUUUUGGAGUAUUAUUCAUUCCACAGGACAAGUCAGGACAGAUCACUGAGGGUAAAGUUGAAGUUAUGAAUUUCUCUGCCUUUACCAGCUAGGAAUUAAGAUCAGAGUUUGGCUGUUUCACAACAUAACUGACAUCAUGCCACAGCAAAAUUCCCUACAGCAAGCCAACAUUCAGCAGCUGCGAAAGAAGUGGGGGGAAUUUGGAGUAAAGAGAAAUGAUGUGACAUGGUGGCCUAGAUUCCUAAAUUAGAAUGAGCUAGGGAAGGAAACAAAAUUAUUUUGUGCCUUUCCAGUGUGUGGACAAGAACUUGAGGCCUGAGAAGAUGACAAUUACUGUUUUGUACACAGUUUAAGAUGGUUAAAAAUGUAACCAGAAUGGU